UCCAAUAUGACCUUAGGCACUAUCUAGCUGUGUGACCCUGGGCAAGUCACAACCGCCAUGGCCAGCUCUUCUGUCCCAAAACUGAUAUGACGGAAGGUAAGCGACUUUUUGUUGUUUUUUAAUGUUAACUUAGCCUUUCAUGACCCCGUCAUUUCCCCUUGGUAAACCAUUCUAAACCCUCUGCCUUAGUGGCCCAUCUAUUACCAGUACAUCUUCUCUUCCUUCCUCCCCUACUCCGCUGAGAAGAGGAAGGGCUGUAAGCACUGCGACUCCUCCAUCCACCAUUAAGUCUUGAUCCCUGGCUGCCCUCCCUCCCUGGGGCACUUACCUCAGCACCCUGGGAUAGGAACAGCCACAGGAGAGUAUUCCUCCCUGCAGCAUGGCCUGAGGGCCUUCAGGGACUGGAAAGAUGGCGCUGUACACCACUAGUCGGCCACCAUCCUGUCUGGCACAAGAUGGCCUCCUCAUGUUCUUCGGAGCUCCCGAUCAUCCUCUUUCAGAUCCAGACCGAGCCCUGUCCACAGCACAAAUGGACGAGCCCUGUGGGCCGCCUUCCAACCCCGCGCCAGUUGGGACAGGAAACGUCCCAGCUUUCCUCCCGCUUCUUAGGCCAAUUGCCGCCAAGGGAGCCCGCGCUGAAUUCUGGGUCUUCAUACAGCCAACUGUAUAUCAAAGGCAAGCGAGCAUCCAAAGGAGCUCCCUAUCGCCAGGGGACUAUGGUUCUCGUGGGAGUUUUCUCUGGACAUCCCUAGCCACAAGUCUCUUCCGGGAAUUGUGCCUUGCUGGGUGCGGAUGAUCAGAAGGUACUAAAGUAUUUUGUGGAUCUUCGUCUGUCUGGGAAUCAUCGCUGGGGGAGAUCGGGAAGGCCUAGUUUUGCCCUCACUCACUAAAGAGCUUUGAAAAGUCAACAAGAACAAGUUGGGAUCUUGUAUUGGAUCCGUCCUUCCCAACGGAACAGCCGCCACUUGCUGCCUAGAUGCUGGCAAUAAUCUGGCGAGCGACCUUGGACAGAGUCUCUCCUCCGGCUUCCCUCAGAAAGCAGCUAGGGUUAUUUUUCUAAAAUACAAGCCUGGCUGCAUCCCUCCUCCUUGCCGAAGCCUUUCACCAUCUGGUCCCGAUCUACUUUUUCCCCUUGGUUGUGCGUUACUCUAUAAAAAUCUAUUUUUCAGAAAAGUAACUUUUUUUUUUCUGCUCCACAUACACGGAAUUCCAUUUCCUGUGUACAUGCCAUCGCCCUGGUUCAGUCUGAGGCAGACUGUGUAGUCUUGUGGGUCCUUUCAAUGGCCAGGAUGUCCUGCAAUGAAAGUCUUCUCCAAGCUUUAGCAUGCCUCAAAAAGGCACCAAAACCCUGGAUGGAGCAGAGGAACAAGAAAUAAAAGCUUAAGACCUGUUAAUGGGAGGCAUCCCUAA
This is a non-coding RNA of Monodelphis domestica (gray short-tailed opossum), 1410 nucleotides long. The record is from RefSeq and is a predicted model, not a curated record. Lineage: Eukaryota; Metazoa; Chordata; Mammalia; Didelphimorphia; Didelphidae.